CUGUAGGCCCAGCUUCUCAGGAGGCUGAGGCAGGAGAAUCACUUGAACUGGAGGCGAGCUAUGGGAAGCACUGGGAUGAGAUCAGCAACAAGAGGCAUCUCCGUGUCAGCCAGACCUUCAAGAAUGACUCGGGGCCCUCCCUGAGCAAUCACUUCAUGGAGGUGGCCCACCAGUUGCUGUCCUGGGCUGAGGCCACAUUCUCAU
Sapajus apella (tufted capuchin) is the source of this 204-nucleotide long non-coding RNA. RefSeq lists it as uncharacterized. The transcript has 3 exons. NCBI's taxonomy places the organism in Eukaryota, Metazoa, Chordata, Mammalia, Primates, Cebidae. The record is from RefSeq and is a predicted model, not a curated record.